RNAcentral lists this ribosomal RNA (789 nucleotides) under Salmonella enterica. RNAcentral's name for it is "partial 23S ribosomal RNA". It matches the Rfam family "Bacterial large subunit ribosomal RNA", at positions 2036 to 2824 of the family's 2925-position model. Lineage: Bacteria; Pseudomonadati; Pseudomonadota; Gammaproteobacteria; Enterobacterales; Enterobacteriaceae. The record is from RNAcentral.
GUGAAAUUGAACUCGCUGUGAAGAUGCAGUGUACCCGCGGCAAGACGGAAAGACCCCGUGAACCUUUACUAUAGCUUGACACUGAACAUUGAGCCUUGAUGUGUAGGAUAGGUGGGAGGCUUUGAAGUGUGGACGCCAGUCUGCAUGGAGCCGGCCUUGAAAUACCACCCUUUAAUGUUUGAUGUUCUAACGUGGACCCGUGAUCCGGGUUGCGGACAGUGUCUGGUGGGUAGUUUGACUGGGGCGGUCUCCUCCUAAAGAGUAACGGAGGAGCACGAAGGUUGGCUAAUCCUGGUCGGACAUCAGGAGGUUAGUGCAAUGGCAUAAGCCAGCUUGACUGCGAGCGUGACGGCGCGAGCAGGUGCGAAAGCAGGUCAUAGUGAUCCGGUGGUUCUGAAUGGAAGGGCCAUCGCUCAACGGAUAAAAGGUACUCCGGGGAUAACAGGCUGAUACCGCCCAAGAGUUCAUAUCGACGGCGGUGUUUGGCACCUCGAUGUCGGCUCAUCACAUCCUGGGGCUGAAGUAGGUCCCAAGGGUAUGGCUGUUCGCCAUUUAAAGUGGUACGCGAGCUGGGUUUAGAACGUCGUGAGACAGUUCGGUCCCUAUCUGCCGUGGGCGCUGGAGAACUGAGGGGGGCUGCUCCUAGUACGAGAGGACCGGAGUGGACGCAUCACUGGUGUUCGGGUUGUCAUGCCAAUGGCACUGCCCGGUAGCUAAAUGCGGAAGAGAUAAGUGCUGAAAGCAUCUAAGCACGAAACUUGCCCCGAGAUGAGUUCUCCCUGAGACUUA